Molecule: ribosomal RNA, 1267 nt
Filed under: Bacillus siamensis
Lineage: Bacteria; Bacillati; Bacillota; Bacilli; Caryophanales; Bacillaceae
Description: bacterial SSU rRNA
Rfam family: Bacterial small subunit ribosomal RNA
Source: RNAcentral
GGGAGCUUGCUCCCUGAUGUUAGCGGCGGACGGGUGAGUAACACGUGGGUAACCUGCCUGUAAGACUGGGAUAACUCCGGGAAACCGGGGCUAAUACCGGAUGGUUGUUUGAACCGCAUGGUUCAGACAUAAAAGGUGGCUUCGGCUACCACUUACAGAUGGACCCGCGGCGCAUUAGCUAGUUGGUGAGGUAACGGCUCACCAAGGCGACGAUGCGUAGCCGACCUGAGAGGGUGAUCGGCCACACUGGGACUGAGACACGGCCCAGACUCCUACGGGAGGCAGCAGUAGGGAAUCUUCCGCAAUGGACGAAAGUCUGACGGAGCAACGCCGCGUGAGUGAUGAAGGUUUUCGGAUCGUAAAGCUCUGUUGUUAGGGAAGAACAAGUGCCGUUCAAAUAGGGCGGCACCUUGACGGUACCUAACCAGAAAGCCACGGCUAACUACGUGCCAGCAGCCGCGGUAAUACGUAGGUGGCAAGCGUUGUCCGGAAUUAUUGGGCGUAAAGGGCUCGCAGGCGGUUUCUUAAGUCUGAUGUGAAAGCCCCCGGCUCAACCGGGGAGGGUCAUUGGAAACUGGGGAACUUGAGUGCAGAAGAGGAGAGUGGAAUUCCACGUGUAGCGGUGAAAUGCGUAGAGAUGUGGAGGAACACCAGUGGCGAAGGCGACUCUCUGGUCUGUAACUGACGCUGAGGAGCGAAAGCGUGGGGAGCGAACAGGAUUAGAUACCCUGGUAGUCCACGCCGUAAACGAUGAGUGCUAAGUGUUAGGGGGUUUCCGCCCCUUAGUGCUGCAGCUAACGCAUUAAGCACUCCGCCUGGGGAGUACGGUCGCAAGACUGAAACUCAAAGGAAUUGACGGGGGCCCGCACAAGCGGUGGAGCAUGUGGUUUAAUUCGAAGCAACGCGAAGAACCUUACCAGGUCUUGACAUCCUCUGACAAUCCUAGAGAUAGGACGUCCCCUUCGGGGGCAGAGUGACAGGUGGUGCAUGGUUGUCGUCAGCUCGUGUCGUGAGAUGUUGGGUUAAGUCCCGCAACGAGCGCAACCCUUGAUCUUAGUUGCCAGCAUUCAGUUGGGCACUCUAAGGUGACUGCCGGUGACAAACCGGAGGAAGGUGGGGAUGACGUCAAAUCAUCAUGCCCCUUAUGACCUGGGCUACACACGUGCUACAAUGGACAGAACAAAGGGCAGCGAAACCGCGAGGUUAAGCCAAUCCCACAAAUCUGUUCUCAGUUCGGAUCGCAGUCUGCAACUCGACUGCGUGAAGC